UCAUGAUUUACAUUUGAGUGAGUGGCGAACUGGUGAGUAACACGUGGGAAACCUGCCCAGAAGCGGGGGAUAACACCUGGAAACAGAUGCUAAUACCGCAUAACAACUUGGACCGCAUGGUCUGAGCUUGAAAGAUGGCUUCGGCUAUCACUUUUGGAUGGUCCCGCGGCGUAUUAGCUAGAUGGUGGGGUAACGGCUCACCAUGGCAAUGAUACGUAGCCGACCUGAGAGGGUAAUCGGCCACAUUGGGACUGAGACACGGCCCAAACUCCUACGGGAGGCAGCAGUAGGGAAUCUUCCACAAUGGACGAAAGUCUGAUGGAGCAACGCCGCGUGAGUGAAGAAGGGUUUCGGCUCGUAAAACUCUGUUGUUAAAGAAGAACAUAUCUGAGAGUAACUGUUCAGGUAUUGACGGUAUUUAACCAGAAAGCCACGGCUAACUACGUGCCAGCAGCCGCGGUAAUACGUAGGUGGCAAGCGUUGUCCGGAUUUAUUGGGCGUAAAGCGAGCGCAGGCGGUUUUUUAAGUCUGAUGUGAAAGCCUUCGGCUCAACCGAAGAAGUGCAUCGGAAACUGGGAAACUUGAGUGCAGAAGAGGACAGUGGAACUCCAUGUGUAGCGGUGAAAUGCGUAGAUAUAUGGAAGAACACCAGUGGCGAAGGCGGCUGUCUGGUCUGUAACUGACGCUGAGGCUCGAAAGUAUGGGUAGCAAACAGGAUUAGAUACCCUGGUAGUCCAUACCGUAAACGAUGAAUGCUAAGUGUUGGAGGGUUUCCGCCCUUCAGUGCUGCAGCUAACGCAUUAAGCAUUCCGCCUGGGGAGUACGGCCGCAAGGCUGAAACUCAAAGGAAUUGACGGGGGCCCGCACAAGCGGUGGAGCAUGUGGUUUAAUUCGAAGCUACGCGAAGAACCUUACCAGGUCUUGACAUACUAUGCAAAUCUAAGAGAUUAGACGUUCCCUUCGGGGACAUGGAUACAGGUGGUGCAUGGUUGUCGUCAGCUCGUGUCGUGAGAUGUUGGGUUAAGUCCCGCAACGAGCGCAACCCUUAUUAUCAGUUGCCAGCAUUAAGUUGGGCACUCUGGUGAGACUGCCGGUGACAAACCGGAGGAAGGUGGGGAUGACGUCAAAUCAUCAUGCCCCUUAUGACCUGGGCUACACACGUGCUACAAUGGAUGGUACAACGAGUUGCGAACUCGCGAGAGUAAGCUAAUCUCUUAAAGCCAUUCUCAGUUCGGAUUGUAGGCUGCAACUCGCCUACAUGAAGUCGGAAUCGCUAGUAAUCGCGGAUCAGCAUGCCGCGGUGAAUACGUUCCCGGGCCUUGUACACACCGCCCGUCACACCAUGAGAGUUUGUAACA
RNAcentral lists this ribosomal RNA (1358 nucleotides) under Lactiplantibacillus plantarum. RNAcentral's name for it is "bacterial SSU rRNA". It matches the Rfam family "Bacterial small subunit ribosomal RNA", at positions 72 to 1419 of the family's 1533-position model. Lineage: Bacteria; Bacillati; Bacillota; Bacilli; Lactobacillales; Lactobacillaceae. The record is from RNAcentral.